GACGAACGCUGGCGGCAUGCCUAACACAUGCAAGUCGAACGAGACCUUCGGGUCUAGUGGCGCACGGGUGCGUGCCGCGUGGGAACCUGCACGUAGGUUAGGAAUAACUCCCCGAAAGGGGUGCUAAUACCGGAUAAUGUCUUCGGACCAAAGAUUUAUCGCCUUUGGAUGGGCCCGCGUUGGAUUAGCUAGUUGGUAGGGUAAAAGCCUACCAAGGCGACGAUCCAUAGCUGGUCUGAGAGGAUGCUCAGCCACACUGGGACUGAGACACGGCCCAGACUCCUACGGGAGGCAGCAGAGGGGAAUAUUGGACAAGGGGCGAAAGCCUGAUCCAGCAAUGCCGCGUGAGUGAUGAAGGCCUUAGGGUUGUAAAGCUCUUUUACCCGGGAUGAUAAUGACAGUACCGGGAGAAUAAGCUCCGGCUAACUCCGUG
This 433-nucleotide ribosomal RNA is filed under the name uncultured bacterium. RNAcentral describes it as "partial 16S ribosomal RNA". It matches the Rfam family "Bacterial small subunit ribosomal RNA", at positions 28 to 507 of the family's 1533-position model. The record is from RNAcentral.